Molecule: non-coding RNA, 965 nt
Organism: Rana temporaria (common frog)
Lineage: Eukaryota; Metazoa; Chordata; Amphibia; Anura; Ranidae
Source: the annotation of a RefSeq genome assembly
CUCUGAUGAAGGUAAGUUCAGGGCAGUGGCCUCUAGAUGGCAGAACAUAUCUGUUUUUCUCUUGAUUUUUAGAGGUGUGAUUAACACAUAUAGAGAUGAGUAGGAGGAGAUCUGAAGGGCUUUGCAUAUGUAUUUCAUAGGAUGACAAUUAAGACCUCAGUCAGUACUUUUGUAUCGGCUGCACCUCUUAAGUAUUCGUUUCCAAAAGUGAUAUGUACAAUGUCCCUCCUUAAUUGGCCAGUGCAGUUAUUUCUAAUUUGGUAUCUUGCAAGUAAGUAUCUUUUAAAAUUUCCAAUUAAAAAACAAUUAGUCAAUAUUUAAAUUAUCCACUUACAAUAUCAAUUUCUGUUAAUUACAAUACGGUUAAGUCUUGUUAAUUAUGAAUAUGCUGUGUUAUUACAAAUGCUUCUCUCCUUCCACAGGUGCUGUCCAUGGGAACUCUAUACAAUCAGAUCUGGCACACAUGUACAGUGAAGUUGGGAAAACUGUGACAUUAACGUGUAAUUAUUCCACUAGCAGCAAUCAGCCCUAUCUGUUCUGGUAUAAACAGUAUGCCAAUCAGAUGCAGUAUAUUCUUUACCGUGGAGCCAGAAGUAUGUCUUCUAUGACACAUGAUGGACAUUUUCAGACUGGAAAAUUUGAAUCUGAGACCAGCGAGUCCACAACCAGCUUAACUAUAUACAACAUGACUGUGUCAGAUUCUGCUGUGUACUUCUGUGCUCUCAGAUCUGGUGCACAGUGUGACAUCUACAUUGUAAACCCAUCAAUAAACAUCUUCUUCACUACCGCUCUUCCACCAGCAGGUGGCAGAAUCCAUUGUAGUCCAAUUAUUGAACAUCCUCCUCACUACCAGCCUUCAACCAGCAGAUGGCAGAAUUCAUCUUAGCUUCACCGCAGUAAGAAAAAUAAAACAGGCAGCCUGUAAAAAACAGUUUAUGUCUUUCACCUUCUUUGCAGAGAUUCAU